RNAcentral lists this ribosomal RNA (795 nucleotides) under uncultured bacterium. RNAcentral describes it as "bacterial SSU rRNA". It matches the Rfam family "Bacterial small subunit ribosomal RNA", at positions 79 to 876 of the family's 1533-position model. The record is from RNAcentral.
CAAUACUUGAGCAAGAGUGUCGUAAGGGUGCGUAACACGUAUGCAAUCUGCCCUCAACAGGAGAAUAGCUCCCCGAAAGGGGAAUUAACACUCCGCAAUAAUAAGAUAUGGCAUCACAUUUUAUUUAAAACUACGGUGGUUGAGGAUGAGCAUGCGCAUGAUUAGUUAGUUGGCGGGGUAACGGCCCACCAAGACGAUGAUCAUUAGGGGAACUGAGAGGUUGAUCCCCCACACUGGCACUGAGAUACGGGCCAGACUCCUACGGGAGGCAGCAGUAGGGAAUAUUGGACAAUGGGUGCGAGCCUGAUCCAGCCAUGCCGCGUGCAGGAAGACGGCCUUCUGGGUUGUAAACUGCUUUUGCCAGGGGAUAAAAAGUCCCUGCGGGGAAAAUUGAAGGUACCUGGUGAAUAAGCCACGGCUAACUACGUGCCAGCAGCCGCGGUAAUACGUAGGUGGCAAGCGUUGUCCGGAUUUAUUGGGUUUAAAGGGUGCGUAGGUUGUUUUGUAAGUCAGUGGUGAAAUCCGGCAGCUCAACUGUCGAUGUGCCAUUGAUACUGCAGAACUUGAGUACAGACGAGGUAGGCGGAAUUGACGGUGUAGCGGUGAAAUGCUUAGAUAUCGUCAAGAACACCGAUAGCGAAGGCAGCUUACUAGACUGUAACUGGCACUGAUGCACGAAAGUGUGGGGAUCAAACAGGAUUAGAUACCCUGGUAGUCCACACUGUAAACGAUGAUUACUCGAUGUUGGCGAUACACGGCCAGCGUCUUAGCGAAAGCGAUAAGUAAUCCACCUGG